CGGGACGGGUGAGUAACGCGUGGGUAACCUGCCUCACACUGGGGGAUAACAGUCGGAAAUGACUGCUAAUACCGCAUAAGCGCACGGGAUUGCAUGAUCCAGUGUGAAAAACUCCGGUGGUGUGAGAUGGACCCGCGUUGGAUUAGCCAGUUGGCAGGGUAACGGCCUACCAAAGCGACGAUCCAUAGCCGGCCUGAGAGGGUGGACGGCCACAUUGGGACUGAGACACGGCCCAGACUCCUACGGGGAGGCAGCAUG
This 258-nucleotide ribosomal RNA is filed under the name uncultured bacterium. RNAcentral's name for it is "partial 16S ribosomal RNA". It matches the Rfam family "Bacterial small subunit ribosomal RNA", at positions 98 to 353 of the family's 1533-position model. The record is from RNAcentral.